AACGAACGCUGGCGGCAUGCCUAACACAUGCAAGUCGAACGAGAUCUUCGGGUCUAGUGGCACACGGGUGCGUAACGCGUGGGAAUCUGCCCUUUGGUUCGGGAUAACAGUUGGAAACGACUGCUAAUACCGGAUGAUGACGAAAGUCCAAAGAUUUAUCGCCAGAGGAUGAGCCCGCGUAGGAUUAGCUAGUUGGUGUGGUAAAGGCGCACCAAGGCGACGAUCCUUAGCUGGUCUGAGAGGAUGAUCAGCCACACUGGGACUGAGACACGGCCCAGACUCCUACGGGAGGCAGCAGUGGGGAAUAUUGGACAAUGGGCGAAAGCCUGAUCCAGCAAUGCCGCGUGAGUGAUGAAGGCCUUAGGGUUGUAAAGCUCUUUUACCCGGGAUGAUAAUGACAGUACCGGGAGAAUAAGCUCCGGCUAACUCCGUGCCAGCCGCCGCAGUAA
RNAcentral lists this ribosomal RNA (449 nucleotides) under uncultured bacterium. Its description in RNAcentral is "partial 16S ribosomal RNA". It matches the Rfam family "Bacterial small subunit ribosomal RNA", at positions 29 to 523 of the family's 1533-position model. The record is from RNAcentral.